ACAUUCCGGUUGAUCCUGCCGGAGGACAUUGCUAUUGGGAUUCGAUUUAGCCAUGCUAGUCGGACGAGUUUAGACUCGUGGCAGAUAGCUCAGUAACACGUGGCCAAGCUACCCUUCAGUCGGCAAUACCCUCGGGAAACUGAGGUUAACGGCCGAUGUGGGACGCCUGCUGGAAUGCGGCGUUCUCUAAAGGCGACGCUGAAGGAUGCGGCUGCGGCCGAUUAGGUUGACGGUGGGGUAACGGCCCACCGUGCCAGUAAUCGGUACGGGUGAUGAGAGUCAGAGCCCGGAGACGGAAUCUGAGACAAGAUUCCGGGCCCUACGGGGCGCAGCAGGCGCGAAACCUUUACACUGCACGGAAGUGCGAUAGGGGAAUCCCAAGUGCGAGGGCAUAUUCGCCCUCGCUUUUGUUGACCGUAAGGUGGUCAACGAAUAAGAGCUGGGCAAGACCGGUGCCAGCCGCCGCGGUAAUACCGGCAGCUCGAGUGAUGUCCAAUAUUAUUGGGCCUAAAGCGUCCGUAGCUGGCCGCGCAAGUCCGUCGGGAAAUCCACCUGCCCAACAGGUGGGCGUCCGGCGGAAACUGUGUGGCUUGGAACCGGAAGGCUCAGAGGGUACGUCCGGGGUAGGAGUGAAAUCCCGUAAUCCCGGACGGACCACCGAUGGCGAAAGCACUCUGAGAAGACGGCUUCGACAGUGAGGGACGAAAGCUAGGGUCUCAAACCGGAUUAGAUACCCGGGUAGUCCUAGCUGUAAACGAUGCUCGUUAGGUGUGGCACCCACUACGAGUGGGUGCUGUGCCGCAGGGAAGCCGCUAAACGAGCCGCCUGGGAAGUACGUCCGCAAGGAUGAAACUUAAAGGAAUUGGCGGGGGAGCACUACAACCGGAGGAGCCUGCGGUUUAAUUGGACUCAACGCCGGAAAUCUCACCAGCCCCGACAUCAGUAAUGACGGUCAUGUUGACGACAUCUGCCCGAGCUGAUGAGAGGAGGUGCAUGGCCGCCGUCAGCUCGUACCGUGAGGCAUCCUGUUAAGUCAGGCAACGAGCGAGAUCCACAUCCCUAAUUGCCAGCACCAUCGCCAGAUGGGUGGGUACAUUAGGGAGACUGCCGCUGCUAAAGCGGAGGAAGGAAUGGGCAACGGUAGGUCAGUAUGCCCCGAAUGGGCUGGGCAACACGCGGGCUACAAUGGGCAGGACAAUGGGUUCCAACACCGAGAGGUGGAGGUAAUCUCAGAAACCUGCUCGUAGUUCGGAUUGCGGACUGAAACUCGUCCGCAUGAAGCUGGAUUCGGUAGUAAUCGCGUGUCAGCAGCGCGCGGUGAAUACGUCCCUGCUCCUUGCACACACCGCCCGUCAAAGCACCCGAGUGAGGUCCGGAUGAGGCCACAUUUCGUGGUCGAAUCUGGGCUUCGCAAGGGGGCUUAAGUCGUAACAAGGUAGCCGUAGGGGAAUCUGCGGCUGGAUCACCUCCUAACGU
RNAcentral lists this ribosomal RNA (1476 nucleotides) under uncultured archaeon. RNAcentral's name for it is "bacterial SSU rRNA". It matches the Rfam family "Archaeal small subunit ribosomal RNA". The record is from RNAcentral.